AAGAAAGUGGCGGAGUGGUUAAGCAGCUGGCUUGAAAUCAGUGUAUGGGGGUUCAAUUCCCUCCUUUCUCG
This 71-nucleotide transfer RNA is filed under the name Macropinna microstoma (barreleye). RNAcentral describes it as "tRNA-Ser (UCN)". It matches the Rfam family "tRNA". From Rfam's summary of the family: Transfer RNA (tRNA) molecules are approximately 80 nucleotides in length. Their secondary structure includes four short double-helical elements and three loops (D, anti-codon, and T loops). The record is from RNAcentral. Lineage: Eukaryota; Metazoa; Chordata; Actinopteri; Argentiniformes; Opisthoproctidae. RNAcentral also lists the same sequence under 1 other name.